This 338-nucleotide long non-coding RNA is filed under the name Ursus maritimus (polar bear). RNAcentral's name for it is "lncRNA (ENSUMAG00000006592.1)". The record is from RNAcentral. Lineage: Eukaryota; Metazoa; Chordata; Mammalia; Carnivora; Ursidae.
CGGGGCUACACAGGAUCAAUGGCAGGAUAAAGAGAAUAGAGGUAACCUGGAGAAAUGUGAACCUCUGGAGUAGCAGCUCUCUGAGUCAACAAAACAGGGUUCUGUGGAUGUUUCGUGCCUCUGUUGCAAAGAUGGUUUGGCAAGGAAAUAUAUACAUUAAGAAUCAAAGGACUGAAGGAGUGCCCACUUCACCAUUUGCCAACUGUGAGUUCAAUGACUUCAUCUGUAAACACAGAUUUUAAUAGUACAAGCUUCAUAGAAUUAAUGUGAGGAUCAAUUGAGAUAAUUCAUGUAACAAUCAGUAUAUUGCCUAGCAUUUAUCAGGCAUCCAAUAAUUG